This is a long non-coding RNA of Strigops habroptila (Kakapo), 2058 nucleotides long. The record is from Ensembl. NCBI's taxonomy places the organism in Eukaryota, Metazoa, Chordata, Aves, Psittaciformes, Psittacidae.
GGCGGAGGUGGGACAGGCGGCCCAGGUGUCUGAGGAGAAGGGGGCCGAGGUGGGCGCGGCGCUAUGGGAGGUUCGGCCGGCGGCCACCGAAGCGUCCCGGGCCGAGUACGGUGAAGCUCCGCCGGCUGGCCAGGAGCAACGCGGAGCUGCUGUGACGGCGGCAGGACUAGGGAAGGGAAGCAGCGGCCGCGAUGGCCUGCCUCACGAAGCCGGGCCAGGAGAAGGCGGAGGAGAUUGAGAAACAGAAGCAGGAGCCAGUUGAUUUGAAACAGCAAGCACAAAAAGAUAAGAAGAUGGUGAAUGAACUUUUCUCUUUGUCCUCAUAACAGUGGAAUCUUCUGAGGAGGUUGAAAGUUCUGAUUGUAGUAUGAGGAACGAGCUAGUGCAAUUAACUGUUACAGGUUUUGAUUCAAAAGUACUGCAUGAAGAAUUUAAAAAAAAAAAAAAGGCAGACUAUUAUGCACAACAAAUAAAACAACUGGAAGAGAAAUGUCAGAAAAAAGUUAGAGAAAUUGGCCAAAUUAAAUUAGAACUGAAAUUAAUAAGGGAGUUCUACAGGGAACAAGCAGCUAUGGAGAAAGAGCUGGAAGAUAAAAGACGAGAAGAAAAAGUUGAGAAAAAGCAAACAAUGAUGGCAGAGACUGCCCAGCAUGAGACUUACUCGCAGCUGACCAGCACUGAGAGAGAGGUGUUGAAGGAGGAUGUUUGUCUUCACAGUGCAUUUGCUUACCAGCUGAAAGGGACAGUAGAAUUGGAGAAAAUCAAACAGAAGUUAGAAGAGGACAAAAGUCUUCUGUUGCAGGAGAAGGUUUCUGCUCUGGUUUUAGUUCUGUUCCAUUCUCCUCCAGGAAGGGGUCAGAUGCUUCUGCAGUUACUGAAUUUGAAGCUGUCUGAAGGAGAGCUCUUAUUCCAUCUUCAUCAUGGAGGAGAAAGAAGGAAGAAUUUCAUCUGCUAGUCCAUUAAGAAACCACUGAGGGUUUGAUUCAAAAAACGAUCCUACAGAUCAGUCGCCAGAAAGCACAGAUUGGAGAUCUGCAGCGUAAAGUAGAAAAGCUGGAGAUGGACUUGUAUCGCAUGGCUACAGAAUCUGAGAAAAAGACUCAGAAAAUACAGCAUCAGGCGCUGAUACAAAACCAGGCAAGCAUGGUGGAGAUCAAGAAGCUGCAGCAACUACUAGAAAUGAAGGAUCGGGAGAUGAACCGAGUGAAGAAACUAGCCCGGAAUAUCUUAAAUGAGAGGACUGAGGUGGAAAGGUUCUUCCUAGAUGCUCUGGAACAUGUGAAGCAGGAGAUCAUAUCCAGUAGAAAGCAGUAUAAGAAAAAGGCCCAAACUGCCUAUUACAGAAAAAUGAUGGAGGCAUGUGCAGGGAAGGAAGAAUUUCCCAAAAUCAAAACAUUCAAAAGCAACAUAAAUAGCACAAAUUGUGUGUACAGAGACCUAGAGGAAGCAAAGAAAUGCUACUGGGAAAAAAUGCAGUUUGAAAAAGUGGAUAUCAGUGAGUUGACGUGGGAACAAAAAGAACGUGUUCUGCGAUUGCUUUUUGCCAAAAUGAAUGGCACGAAUCCAUGGCAAUAUUCUGUUUCUUGAGCAAUACACCAGAGUUUUGACUAUUUCAGCUCCAGCUGCUGCUGAUACUGAAGAAGAAAGCAAAACUGGCAGGCUGAAUUAUCAGAUUCUUCAUCAUCAUCUUCUGCAGUAAUCCUUCUGCAUACUCAGAUGUUGACACCACCGAGUAAGGCAGCUGCACACUUUGCAUGAAGAACAGCCACAGCAAUUACCGACUCAUCUACACUUUUCAUUUGGGAAGUCAUCUUGUGAUAAAGCUGUAAAUUCUAAAUCCUCUGUCUGCUGCACCACUACUUUGACUAUAUGUUUGAAAUCCACCUGAAAUACAGUUAUUUUCCUCCUUCUUAAAGAUUUUAAUUCUUUCCAAGCCAGGAGCUCAGAUGACCCUGUACAAAGCACUAGGAUUUGGACUAGUGGUUAGAACUUUCUAUAUGAGUUGCUAUAAUUUGAUGAAGAUCUAGUUUCAGUUUGCAAUAAAAAGUCAUUUACAUG